Phacochoerus africanus (Common warthog) is the source of this 418-nucleotide long non-coding RNA. RefSeq lists it as uncharacterized. NCBI's taxonomy places the organism in Eukaryota, Metazoa, Chordata, Mammalia, Artiodactyla, Suidae. The record is from RefSeq and is a predicted model, not a curated record. The transcript is spliced from 3 exons.
CCAAUGGCAAGUGGCUAUAAUCCUCCACUGAGUUGAGGGAGACCUGAGCUAAGACAAGGGCCAAGGACCGGGUCUGAGCAUCUGAGGGCUCAGAGAAUUCCAAAUUCUCCUGCUGGGGAAAACUGGGAAGAAGAGUGCCAAUGACCAAUGCGGGACUCAAACGGGAGCAUUUCUGAAGAGGAGAAAAUGGUCACCUAGGUUUGGGAUGUCACACGAAAGGCUGCCUCCCUUGUCUGAGUUCACGUUCCCAGCCUGAGGCUCCUUCUGAAGAGACCAGACUUGGGGGAGACUCAGCUUUGAUCUUCGAACCACACGAGAGGCUCCAUCAACCCACUCGCAGGCUCAGCCAGAACAGGUCAUGACCGGAGUUAAUAUGCAAAAUAUAUAAACAGCUCAUACAACUCAACAUCAAAAAAAC